This is a transfer RNA of Trichosporon asahii var. asahii CBS 8904, 81 nucleotides long. It matches the Rfam family "tRNA". From Rfam's summary of the family: Transfer RNA (tRNA) molecules are approximately 80 nucleotides in length. Their secondary structure includes four short double-helical elements and three loops (D, anti-codon, and T loops). Lineage: Eukaryota; Fungi; Basidiomycota; Tremellomycetes; Trichosporonales; Trichosporonaceae. The record is from Rfam.
GGGCGUCUAGCUCAGUUGGUAGAGCGCGUCAUUAGCAGUGGUUAGUUGACGAGGUCUUUGGUUCGAUUCCUAAGUCGUCCA